Cinara cedri is the source of this 248-nucleotide non-coding RNA. The record is from the annotation of a GenBank genome assembly. NCBI's taxonomy places the organism in Eukaryota, Metazoa, Arthropoda, Insecta, Hemiptera, Aphididae.
UUUGUAUAUGAAUUUGUGUUGUUUAUUCACAAUGUCGAACAUCGUUAUUUUUUACGUGUUCUAUUUCGCUUUUGAAACGCUGUUUGUAUUACAUUUAAUGGGUUUUUUUUAUACCAUAAGAAUAAUCUUAAUAUAAUAACCACGGCCUUAGAAGAUAUGAUCGGAUAACUGGGCUAUAAAACGCAGAAUCUUAUUAAGAGAGGCGGUUAUUCUAUCCGUUAGUGCGAAAAGCAUCACUUUGUACUUUU